UAGAUACCCUAUUAUUUUGGAUUUAAAAUUUAAACUUGAGUAGUAUUAGGUAUGGUCUUGAAACUUAAAGAAUUUGGCGGUAUCUUAGUCUAGUUAGAGGAAUCUGUUCCAUUAUCGAUAAUCCGCGUUUGACCUUACUUAAUAUAAUUUAAUAUGUAUACCGCCGUUUAUUUGAUGAAAAUCUUUUUAGAGAUAAUUUUCUUUAAAUUUUAAUUAAUUUUAUUUCAGGUCAAGGUGCAGUUUAUAAUUAAGUGGUGAUGGAUUACAUUAUUUAUAAAGUAAACGGAUUAAAGUUUGAAAAUAUUUUAUGAAGGGGGAUUUAAUAGUAAUUAAUAAUAAGAAUUAUUUUUGUGAUUUUAGCUCUAAGAUGUGUACACAUCGCCCGUCACUCUCGUUAUUAAGAUGAGAUAAGUC
RNAcentral lists this ribosomal RNA (414 nucleotides) under Panesthia sloanei. RNAcentral's name for it is "partial 12S ribosomal RNA". The record is from RNAcentral. Lineage: Eukaryota; Metazoa; Arthropoda; Insecta; Blattodea; Blaberidae.